Molecule: ribosomal RNA, 497 nt
Filed under: uncultured bacterium
Lineage: Bacteria
Description: partial 16S ribosomal RNA
Rfam family: Bacterial small subunit ribosomal RNA
Source: RNAcentral
GAUGAACGCUGGCGGCGUGCCUAAUACAUGCCAGUCGAGCGAACGGACGAGAAGCUUGCUUCUCUGAUGUUAGCGGCGGACGGGUGAGUAACACGUGGAUAACCUACCUAUAAGACUGGGAUAACUUCGGGAAACCGGAGCUAAUACCGGAUGAUAUUUUGAACCGCAUGGUUCAAAAGUGAAAGACGGUCUUGCUGUCACUUAUAGAUGGAUCCGCGCUGCAUUAACUAGUUGGUAAGGUAACGGCUUACCAAGGCAACGAUGCAUAGCCGACCUGAGAGGGUGAUCGGCCACACUGGAACUGAGACACGGUCCAGACUCCUACGGGAGGCAGCAGUAGGGAAUCUUCCGCAAUGGGCGAAAGCCUGACGGAGCAACGCCGCGUGAGUGAUGAAGGUCUUCGGAUCGUAAAACUCUGUUAUUAGGGAAGAACAAAUGUGUAAGUAACUGUGCACAUCUUGACGGUACCUAAUCAGAAAGCCACGGCUAACUACGUG